GAUGAACGCUGGCGGCGUGCCUAAUACAUGCAAGUCGAGCGAACAGACGAGGAGCUUGCUCCUCUGACGUUAGCGGCGGACGGGUGAGUAACACGUGGAUAACCUACCUAUAAGACUGGGAUAACUUCGGGAAACCGGAGCUAAUACCGGAUAAUAUAUUGAACCGCAUGGUUCAAUAGUGAAAGACGGUUUUGCUGUCACUUAUAGAUGGAUCCGCGCCGCAUUAGCUAGUUGGUAAGGUAACGGCUUACCAAGGCGACGAUGCGUAGCCGACCUGAGAGGGGGAUCGGCCACACUGGAACUGAGACACGGUCCAGACUCCUACGGGAGGCAGCAGUAGGGAAUCUUCCGCAAUGGGCGAAAGCCUGACGGAGCAACGCCGCGUGAGUGAUGAAGGUCUUCGGAUCGUAAAACUCUGUUAUGAGGGAAGAACAAAUGUGGAAGUAACUAUGCACGUCUUGACGGUACCUAAUCAGAAAGCCACGGCUAACUACGUG
This 497-nucleotide ribosomal RNA is filed under the name uncultured bacterium. RNAcentral describes it as "partial 16S ribosomal RNA". It matches the Rfam family "Bacterial small subunit ribosomal RNA", at positions 28 to 507 of the family's 1533-position model. The record is from RNAcentral.